AUUGAACGCUGGCGGCAGGCUUAACACAUGCAAGUCGAGCGGAGCGAGGGUGCUUGCACCUUAGCUUAGCGGCGGACGGGUGAGUAAUGCUUAGGAAUCUGCCUAUUAGUGGGGGACAACAUUCCGAAAGGAAUGCUAAUACCGCAUACGCCCUACGGGGGAAAGCAGGGGAUCUUCGGACCUUGCGCUAAUAGAUGAGCCUAAGUCGGAUUGGCUAGUUGGUGGGGUAAAGGCCUACCAAGGCGACGAUCUGUAGCGGGUCUGUGAGGAUGAUCCGCCACACUGGGACGGGGACACGGCCCAGACUCCUACGGGAGGCAGCAGUGGGGAAUAUUGGACAAUGGGCGGAAGCCUGAUCCAGCCAUGCCGCGUGUGUGAAGAAGGCCUUUUGGUUGUAAAGCACUUUAAGCGAGGAGGAGGCUACUUAGAUUAAUACUCUGGGAUAGUGGACGUUACUCGCAGAAUAAGCACCGGCUAACUCUGUGCCAGCCGCCGCCGUAA
This 501-nucleotide ribosomal RNA is filed under the name uncultured bacterium. RNAcentral's name for it is "partial 16S ribosomal RNA". It matches the Rfam family "Bacterial small subunit ribosomal RNA", at positions 30 to 523 of the family's 1533-position model. The record is from RNAcentral.